RNAcentral lists this ribosomal RNA (433 nucleotides) under uncultured bacterium. RNAcentral's name for it is "partial 16S ribosomal RNA". It matches the Rfam family "Bacterial small subunit ribosomal RNA", at positions 29 to 507 of the family's 1533-position model. The record is from RNAcentral.
AACGAACGCUGGCGGCAUGCCUAACACAUGCAAGUCGAACGAGACCUUCGGGUCUAGUGGCGCACGGGUGCGUAACGCGUGGGAACCUGCCCUUAGGUUCGGAAUAACUCCCCGAAAGGGGUGCUAAUACCGGAUAAUGUCUUCGGACCAAAGAUUUAUCGCCUUUGGAUGGGCCCGCGUUGGAUUAGCUAGUUGGUAGUGUAAAAGCCUACCAAGGCGACGAUCCAUAGCUGGUCUGAGAGGAUGCUCAGCCGCAAUGGGGCUGCGACACGGCCCAGACUGCGACGGGAGGGAGCGGUGGGGAAGAGUAUAGGAGGGGGGAUGGUGUGACACAGCAGCGUGGGGGGAGUGAGGAAGCCCGUAGGAUUGCAAAUUUCCCUGAGCCGGGACGAGAAUGACAGUACCGGGAAAAGAAGCUCCGGCUAACUCCGUG